RNAcentral lists this ribosomal RNA (511 nucleotides) under Arthrobacter sp. hata68. RNAcentral's name for it is "bacterial SSU rRNA". It matches the Rfam family "Bacterial small subunit ribosomal RNA", at positions 117 to 634 of the family's 1533-position model. The record is from RNAcentral. Lineage: Bacteria; Bacillati; Actinomycetota; Actinomycetes; Micrococcales; Micrococcaceae.
GUGAGUAACCUGCCCUUGACUCUGGGAUAAGCCUGGGAAACUGGGUCUAAUACCGGAUAUGACUUCUCAUCGCAUGGUGGGGGGUGGAAAGCUUUUGUGGUUUUGGAUGGACUCGCGGCCUAUCAGCUUGUUGGUGGGGUAAUGGCCUACCAAGGCGACGACGGGUAGCCGGCCUGAGAGGGUGACCGGCCACACUGGGACUGAGACACGGCCCAGACUCCUACGGGAGGCAGCAGUGGGGAAUAUUGCACAAUGGGCGCAAGCCUGAUGCAGCGACGCCGCGUGAGGGAUGACGGCCUUCGGGUUGUAAACCUCUUUCAGUAGGGAAGAAGCCCUCUUUUGGGGGUGACGGUACUUGCAGAAGAAGCGCCGGCUAACUACGUGCCAGCAGCCGCGGUAAUACGUAGGGCGCAAGCGUUAUCCGGAAUUAUUGGGCGUAAAGAGCUCGUAGGCGGUUUGUCGCGUCUGCUGUGAAAGACCGGGGCUCAACUCCGGUUCUGCAGUGGGUACG